Molecule: long non-coding RNA, 587 nt
Filed under: Mytilus galloprovincialis (Mediterranean mussel)
Lineage: Eukaryota; Metazoa; Mollusca; Bivalvia; Mytilida; Mytilidae
Source: RNAcentral
UUUUAAAUUUCAUUUCAAAAGAGAUAAAUAUUUUUACCUUGAAGUGGAACUAUCCAAAUCUCAGUUUGUUUCUUUUUAUUAGAUGCAGGUGUCUUCAGCAUUUUCUCAUCUGAUGAAUUUUUCUACCCUUUUCAGUCACUAUAAAGUGUUACAACUUAAAUUUAGACGCAACACAUAAAUAGUAAUUGGAAAGGUACUGCCAUUGUAUGUGUUACGCAGAAACUAUAGUCGCCGUCACGUAAAAUUGGCACCAUGUUUUUUGUCAAAAUUUUCUUAAAUAUCGACCGCGUUUACUAAAGAUCAUGUUUUUCAAUUAGCGGAAUCAAAUAUCAUUCCAAAAAUCAACUACUGUCCUACCUUUUAUUGUGUUUGUACUGUAUAAUCCUGACCUUCACAUAAUCCAAGUUUAAUUUGUAUGGUGGAAUCCGACAUUGUUAUUACCGGAAGUGUUGCCGUGGAGUUCCACGUGCUCUCCAUUUUCUUGCGUCUCUCGGAGCUUUUCUUCAUCUUUACGUAAAAUGCGCGGGAAAUUGUAUCAUCAAUGACAAUGAUAUUACCGGAGAGUAACGAAUGUUAUGGAAUAAAGG